Long non-coding RNA from Ostrea edulis (European flat oyster), 1576 nucleotides. RefSeq lists it as uncharacterized. The record is from RefSeq and is a predicted model, not a curated record. The transcript is spliced from 2 exons. NCBI's taxonomy places the organism in Eukaryota, Metazoa, Mollusca, Bivalvia, Ostreida, Ostreidae.
CAUGACCCACGAACCAUGAAAAAUGGCCUAGCCUGGGAUAUUGAUAAUUUCUGUAUAUAAUAAUCUUCGGGAUAUAGGCUUUCUAGAAAUGUUUUUCUUUUUUUCAUAUAUUCUAUACUUUAUUGUUAAUAUGACGUUGAAUAUUGUGGUAUUUAAUGUUAAAACAAUUAACAUUUCGGGAUACACGUCACAACAAUAAACCUCCAAUGACCAUGUACAAUGUACAUGAACCUAUAAAUCUCUGAAUAUAUCAAGUUAUAUGCACUCAAAUAGCUAGAAUGGCUUAUUCAAUGAUCAUAAUAAGCAUUUUUGACCAAAUUUGGGAAAUAGAAAAAAGAAAUAUUUUGGAAAUGAUGUUCAAAGCCGUGAUUGUUCAACUUUACUUUUAAAUUAUUUUUACUUGAAUUUUAAAAUACUGAAAUAAGAAGAAUAAAUAUAGUAUGUAGUUUAUUUACAUGGUGAAAGAAGUGAAUCAUUGGAACAAUUCUGUUUCAUAUCAUAUUCCAUAGUUUUGGGUUUUUUUGUUUUCUUUCUUAUUUUUUUUUUAAGUAUUAAAACGACCGAGUAUCGAAAGCAAUGGUAACGAAAUAAGUUGACACCGCGUCUCGUCAAAACAUGUUCAAUUCGAAUUUACUCGGAAUUACACGUUCAACGAUCAUUUGCUGUGAAACCUGAUUAAAGGAAAAUUACUGUAGACACCUAAUAGUUUACAUAUGUCAGCAAGUCCUCAAAAGCAGCUUUAGGGGUUCCCAGGAGAUUCUGAUGCUCACUGUUAGACUUUCACUGUCGUCAAAAUCCAACCUUAUUUUCUCUUUUCUCAAAACUUCAGCUCUCAAAAACUUGUUUGAUUAAUUAUGUCACUCCUGUUUUGUUGAACAUGGUGUUGUCAGCAAUAGGUUCAAGUUCUUCUAUGUCUUGUUGUAGGUGAUUUGUACAGAAGCGAGCCCCGGCAGGAAUGAUGGCCUCUUUUGAAAUGAAGAUUCCAUGCCUUACUCCUACUGGGACUACAACUAACUUUGGACCUGGUCACUCGCAGAUACAGCAUGAAGUGUGCCCUCUUGAUGUACAUGGGGAUGGGAGUGAUACAUAAGGGGGACUAAUUGGAAGAACUGCUGCUGCUGGUGGUGGUGCUGGACUGUCUUGAAUCUGUUGCCUAACCGACUUGAUAUUCUUCUGUUUAAUAUGGGAGCAACACACACACUCUGGCAUAUAUUGCACAGAAAAUCGUGAUCAGAUGGUGCCCUCCCUAUCAGAGUGGUGAUCACUGACCUAUAUUUCUUUGAAAUCCUGGAUCUGUGUUUUGGUUUUACUCUCCAUGGACAGUUGAAACAGAGAAAGAAUGGGACCACUCCUUGGCAUAUCUGAAAUAUUUAUGUCAUAUACAUGUAAUUAAAAUAUACAAUUUGGGUUGGAUGAAAAUCUUAUCUUCAUGUUAAAACCCAUUAGCCUAGGUUAUUUUUCCUAAAAUCUAAUUAUAAAUCAAUUAACUUGUUAAUUAAUGCUUGGUGAAUCAAUUAAUAAAUUGUAUUCAAAAACUUGGAAUUAUUUUUUUUCCCACUAAUAAACUGAAAAUGUG